CGCUAGCUACAGGCUUAACACAUGCAAGUCGAGGGGCAUCAGGAAGAAAGCUUGCUUUCUUUGCUGGCGACCGGCGCACGGGUGAGUAACACGUAUCCAACCUGCCCUUUACUCGGGGAUAGCCUUUCGAAAGAAAGAUUAAUACCCGAUAGCAUAAUGAUUCCGCAUGGUUUCAUUAUUAAAGGAUUCCGGUAAAGGAUGGGGAUGCGUUCCAUUAGGUUGUUGGUGGGGUAACGGCCCACCAAGCCUUCGAUGGAUAGGGGUUCUGAGAGGAAGGUCCCCCACAUUGGAACUGAGACACGGUCCAAACUCCUACGGGAGGCAGCAGUGAGGAAUAUUGGUCAAUGGGCGCUAGCCUGAACCAGCCAAGUAGCGUGAAGGAUGAAGGCUCUAUGGGUCGUAAACUUCUUUUAUAUAAGAAUAAAGUGCAGUAUGUAUACUGUUUUGUAUGUAUUAUAUGAAUAAGGAUCGGCUAACUCCGUGCCAGCAGCCGCGGUAAUACGGAGGAUCCGAGCGUUAUCCGGAUUUAUUGGGUUUAAAGGGAGCGUAGGUGGACUGGUAAGUCAGUUGUGAAAGUUUGCGGCUCAACCGUAAAAUUGCAGUUGAUACUGUCAGUCUUGAGUACAGUAGAGGUGGGCGGAAUUCGUGGUGUAGCGGUGAAAUGCUUAGAUAUCACGAAGAACUCCGAUUGCGAAGGCAGCUCACUGGACUGCAACUGACACUGAUGCUCGAAAGUGUGGGUAUCAAACAGGAUUAGAUACCCUGGUAGUCCACACAGUAAACGAUGAAUACUCGCUGUUUGCGAUAUACAGUAAGCGGCCAAGCGAAAGCAUUAAGUAUUCCACCUGGGGAGUACGCCGGCAACGGUGAAACUCAAAGGAAUUGACGGGGGCCCGCACAAGCGGAGGAACAUGUGGUUUAAUUCGAUGAUACGCGAGGAACCUUACCCGGGCUUAAAUUGCAGUGGAAUGAUGUGGAAACAUGUCAGUGAGCAAUCACCGCUGUGAAGGUGCUGCAUGGUUGUCGUCAGCUCGUGCCGUGAGGUGUCGGCUUAAGUGCCAUAACGAGCGCAACCCUUAUCUUUAGUUACUAACAGGUCAUGCUGAGGACUCUAGAGAGACUGCCGUCGUAAGAUGUGAGGAAGGUGGGGAUGACGUCAAAUCAGCACGGCCCUUACGUCCGGGGCUACACACGUGUUACAAUGGGGGGUACAGAAGGCAGCUAGCGGGUGACCGUAUGCUAAUCCCAAAAGCCUCUCUCAGUUCGGAUCGAAGUCUGCAACCCGACUUCGUGAAGCUGGAUUCGCUAGUAAUCGCGCAUCAGCCACGGCGCGGUGAAUACGUUCCCGGGCCUUGUACACACCGCCCGUCAAGCCAUGGGAGCCGGGGGUACCUGAAGUACGUAACCGCAAGGAGCGUCCUAGGGUAAAACUGGU
RNAcentral lists this ribosomal RNA (1435 nucleotides) under uncultured organism. Its description in RNAcentral is "SSU rRNA". It matches the Rfam family "Bacterial small subunit ribosomal RNA". The record is from RNAcentral.